GAGUGCCUCCUGAUAUUUCCUCCUCCUCAAACCUCCAUCACACAUCUCUCUCUGACGUACGGUCAGACACUGUUCUUCAAUUUUCAAUCUUCCAGAGCACACGCACACAGAUCUCACAUUUAACCUUCAAUGCUUCGUUUUCUUGUUUCCUUCUAUCAAUCCAUGGAUUCCAAUUCUCUCAUCAAAAUUCGUUUUCCAAACCGCAUUCAAGCUCUAACCGUGCUCGCUUCGCUUUCAUGGAACGAGUUUUUGGUGUUUCUCUUUCGCCUUACAUCGGUGAAGAGUUUUUUUUUUCUUCUGAAUCCGUUUGAUUUCUUAAAAACCGCGCGAGAAGUACAGGUUAGAGAUGUUAUUUAAUCUCUGAAGCAAUGGUAACUUUCGGUGGAGACUUGCGUUUGGAUCUCAGUUCCUGAAGGAGCCUUAUAGUGUUGCUGUGGCUGGCUUAGCUGGAGAUUCACGGGCACAUGCAAAUCCUCUCCUAUGCCUAGACCAUUUGUGAGAACAUAAUCUCUGUUUGUUUCGCUGUCAUCUUUUGUUCCAUGGACCUGAGUUAGUAAAACUCUUUUUAAAGUUCAGAAUAAAUAGUAAACAAGGUUGUCCCCAUUUAGAAAGUUGGAUCAUUCAGUUUGAGAAGAUUAUUUUAGUUUGAUCUGCCAUCCAAACCAAUACCUUCUUUUUCAAUUCCAUGUUUUCUUGACAAAUUAGGUUUACCUUCUUAUACAGUUCCACAUUUUCUUGGCGUAUGAGGUUUCCCUGCAGAAAGUAAAAGGAAUAUUUUAACUAACAAAAUACUUAGAUCAUUAACUUCUCUGUUUAAAGACUGACCUUUCGAUUUAGGUCUUGUAUUUCAUCCAUUAGAAGUUGAUCCUGCAUAUGCCAAUAUCAUGUUAACUAUUACAUCUUUAUCUUCAAAAUUGAGCUCACAUUUUUUAUAGAGAAUACAAACCUUUUUCAUACGGACACCGCGAAGGCUAAUUUCUAAUUGGUUCUCCAAAUUUUGUAAUUCUUUGACUGUCAAACCUGACAGUUCCUCCCCCAUGAUUUUUCUGCCACAUCAAACUAGAAGUAAAAUUGUAUGUAUUGAAAAUAUGGAACCUUAAUGGAUAUUUCACUAUAAAGAUUAGAGACAAAUAGGACACUGAAAAUAUAAUCUUGAAAGUACCUUUUUGUGUGUAUUUUAAAUUAUUUGACAAGCCUUAAGAGAUACACAUGUUUAUUCUUCUAUAAUUAUAAGACAAUUUAUCUCAUGAAUAAUACUUGUAACAAGUUGAGAAACCGACACUCUGUGGCUUAUGUAUGAUAUGCGUGCGUUAAUGUAUAUUUUAGAGCAGGAUUGUUCACGGCCAGAAUUUAAUUCUGGCCGUUAUUCCAAACCGGUGAGUAGAGGGGAAAGAUGAGAAAAAUGAAGAAGGGUAUCCUCAAAUCCAAAAAGAGCAUGUCACAGAGGCCAACAUGGUUGAGGCCGUGGAUGCUGGAGACAGUGGUGGGAGCGUCUUCAACGAUGCAGAACAGUGGCGAGGAUGGGUUUGCCAUUCUCGUAAAUCUUUACUACAGUGUUCCUAUCUGGGAACAAAACAAAGGAACAGUGCUAGAAUGGUUACGGUGUCUUGUGGAGGGACGGAAACAUUAUAAGUAUAAGAAGGUUUUGAAUUUAUCAUGGGAUUUUAAAAUAGGUUACUUUAGGGAAUUUGUAGGUCAAUAUGAAAGGCUGAAAUUGUCUUCCCUAGUUCAUGUGUAAGUAAAACAUGUCACAUGUUUUAGGAGAAAAUUGGUAAAAUCACAUUUUUGGUUUAUAAUCAUGUCAACCAAGAACUGAGACGUCCUGCUAUAUUCUUGCUUUUAUGUUUAGCAUACAUACUGGGUACUGAUCUCAAGGAAAGUGUUCAUAGAUUUUAGAAUAAUUUGUUGCAUUCUAUCCUUCAAAGAGUUUGUAAUGAUGUGCUGAACCCUGAACUUGAAAAGGGUGGAAGUGCUCCAAAACAAUUUGCUAAGUUGAAUUGUUGCUCCAAAAUAAUGAAGUUUUUUUUUCUUUGAA
Long non-coding RNA from Vigna angularis (adzuki bean), 2035 nucleotides. RefSeq lists it as uncharacterized. The record is from RefSeq and is a predicted model, not a curated record. The transcript is spliced from 4 exons. Lineage: Eukaryota; Viridiplantae; Streptophyta; Magnoliopsida; Fabales; Fabaceae.